CCUACGGGUGGCAGCAGUGAGGAAUAUUGCGCAAUGGGGGCAACCCUGACGCAGCGAUGCCGCGUGAGUGAAGAAGUACUUCGGAUUGUAAAGCUCUUUCAGACGGGACGAAGAUGACGGUAGCUGCGAAAGAAGCCCCGGCAAACUACGUGCCAGCAGCCGCGGUAAUACGAAGGGGGCAAGCGUUAUACGGAUUUACUGGGCGUAAAGGGAGCGUAGACGGGUAUGCAAGCUGGAGGUGAACAGCCAGGGCUCAACCCUGGAACUGCAUUUGAGACUGUUUUGCUAGAGUGCUGGAGAGGUAAGUGGAAUUCCCAGUGUAGCGGUGAAAUGCGUAGAUAUUGGGAGGAACACCAGUGGCGAAGGCGGCUUUCUGGACAUUAACUGACGCUGAGGCUCGAAAGCAUGGGGAGCAAACAGGAUUAGAUACCCGAGUAGUC
This 440-nucleotide ribosomal RNA is filed under the name uncultured bacterium. RNAcentral describes it as "partial 16S ribosomal RNA". It matches the Rfam family "Bacterial small subunit ribosomal RNA", at positions 338 to 795 of the family's 1533-position model. The record is from RNAcentral.